Astyanax mexicanus (Mexican tetra) is the source of this 373-nucleotide long non-coding RNA. RefSeq lists it as uncharacterized. Lineage: Eukaryota; Metazoa; Chordata; Actinopteri; Characiformes; Acestrorhamphidae. The record is from RefSeq and is a predicted model, not a curated record. The transcript is spliced from 2 exons.
GUGAGGUCUGACAACUGAGGACUGCAUGUUGCACAAAGUGCUACCAACCAACGCAGGCCACCUUUAAGAUACUGAAGAGAUACUACGGUUUGAUCUUCUCUCCGGCUGAACUGGGAUGCUUGUGAAGUUUCUCUGCGUUUCAGCUUUGAUCCGUGUUUGAUAUUUGGCGUCUGACUGCACACUACACCCUUUUCUCAGGUGGCGCAACAUGUGACAGGCCUAAAUCCUGAUCCCAAAACCCAUCACAGACCCUGCUACACUCUCCGCUGGGAACUGUGGCUGAAAUGGACACUUGAAUUUCAGUCAUUGUUUCUGGUAGAGGGUGCAGUAGACGAUCAACUCCACGGCUGCUCCAAGGAAUGACAACACACCC